GUGUCAUACCACUUGCUAUUGAUGGUGUCUUUGAAACCAUUAAAAAGUGUCCAGAGAAGGAGUUUCUUCUCAGGGUGUCUUACAUGGAAAUAUACAAUGAAACCGUGACUGAUUUGCUAGUAGAUAGCUGGAAAAGAAAACCUCUGGAAGUCCGAGGGAGUUCAAAUAAAACCGUCUAUGUUGCUGACCUGACUGAGGAACUGGUGACCUCCUCUGCGCAAGCACUGGCUUGGAUUCGCAAAGGAGAAA
This is a long non-coding RNA of Syngnathus acus (greater pipefish), 249 nucleotides long. RefSeq lists it as uncharacterized. The record is from RefSeq and is a predicted model, not a curated record. Lineage: Eukaryota; Metazoa; Chordata; Actinopteri; Syngnathiformes; Syngnathidae. The transcript is spliced from 3 exons.